ACUCCUACGGGAGGCAGCAGUGGGGAAUAUUGCACAAUGGGCGCAAGCCUGAUGCAGCCAUGCCGCGUGUGUGAAGAAGGCCUUCGGUUGUAAAGCACUUUCAGUCGUGAGGAAGGUAGUGUAGUUAAUAGCUGCAUUAUUUGUACGUUAGCGACAGAAGAAGCACCGGCUAACUCCGUGCCAGCAGCCGCGGUAAUACGGAGGGUGCGAGCGUUAAUCGGAAUUACUGGGCGUAAAGCGCAUGCAGGUGGUUUGUUAAGUCAGAUGUGAAAGCCCGGGGCUCAACCUCGGAAUAGCAUUUGAAACUGGCAGACUAGAGUACUGUAGAGGGGGUAGAAUUUCAGGUGUAGCGGUGAAAUGCGUAGAGAUCUGAAGGAAUACCGGUGGCGAAGGCGGCCCCCUGGACAGAUACUGACACUCAGAUGCGAAAGCGUGGGGAG
This 440-nucleotide ribosomal RNA is filed under the name uncultured bacterium. RNAcentral's name for it is "bacterial SSU rRNA". It matches the Rfam family "Bacterial small subunit ribosomal RNA", at positions 335 to 768 of the family's 1533-position model. The record is from RNAcentral.